AUCUCUUGAGUAUGAUUAGUACAUUUACCUUCCAAGUAAAAAGAUUAAAUUAUUUUAAAAGAGAUA
RNAcentral lists this transfer RNA (66 nucleotides) under Tricula hortensis. Its description in RNAcentral is "tRNA-Gly". The record is from RNAcentral. Lineage: Eukaryota; Metazoa; Mollusca; Gastropoda; Littorinimorpha; Pomatiopsidae.